Molecule: microRNA precursor, 110 nt
Filed under: Guillardia theta CCMP2712
Lineage: Eukaryota; Cryptophyceae; Pyrenomonadales; Geminigeraceae
Description: microRNA mir-598
Source: RNAcentral
UGACGACCAGUAUGCGGAUGAUGAUGAUGAUGAUGAUGAUGGAUUUGAUGAUCAUACGACAUGAAGGAGGGAAGACAUCAUCAUCAUCAACUCCAUCAUCUCCAUCUUCG